UGUGUACCCGCUCGGACCGUGACGACCGGGUGAAGUGUGUGCGUGUGUGUGCGCGUGUGUGUGUGCGUAUGCGUGUUUGUGUGCGUGAAACAUAAACGGUUGAGGUCCUUUAUUUCUUUUUUAAGAGUGAUGACCACGGGGUGGACGGUGCACUGAGGCUGGGAGUAGGCAUGGUGGUGGAGGAGGCUGGGAGUAGGCAUGGUGGUGGAGGAGGCUGGGAUGACUAUUCUGCUUGGAUGGACAUAAAGAAG
This is a long non-coding RNA of Gadus macrocephalus (Pacific cod), 251 nucleotides long. RefSeq lists it as uncharacterized. NCBI's taxonomy places the organism in Eukaryota, Metazoa, Chordata, Actinopteri, Gadiformes, Gadidae. The record is from RefSeq and is a predicted model, not a curated record. The transcript has 2 exons.